Molecule: long non-coding RNA, 721 nt
Filed under: Fukomys damarensis (Damara mole-rat)
Lineage: Eukaryota; Metazoa; Chordata; Mammalia; Rodentia; Bathyergidae
Description: lncRNA (ENSFDAG00000027824.1)
Source: RNAcentral
UUCCCUUCUUACCUUUUCCCUACACCUCCUUCUUCCCCUACUUCUUUAGACCUUCCUUUUCUUCCUGUUUCACAUCAUUAAUUAUACUUUUUGAUUCUUAUUUACACUUUUAGUUUUUCAUACCAGAGAAACUAUUUGGUAUUUACACAUGUGUGUCCUAUUUAUUAUAACACAGUUUUUAAACAUUCACUGCACAUUUUGAUUCACCUUGUAGGGAGAAGGUCUGAGGAGAAACAGACGGGUUCCACCUGAAGAGUGAGGCCCGGUUCAAACUCAUUUUUCCACCUCUGCAUUCCCAAGGAUCCUGCCUGUUAGCACACCCAACAAUCACCCAUGUCCAGCCCCACGGUGUGCCCAGACUCACCCACAGUCCUGCAGCCAGUCUUCAAUCUUGUUGAUUGGAUUCCCUAGAGAAGUCAAAUACCAGAUUAUUGCGAGAAUGGAAGAAAACAGACCUCUGCCCUGCCCAACUCACCUCUUACCCCAUUCCACAAUUUUGUCCGUAUGUAAGUCACAUUUUGAUCCCUCCCCCAAUCUUUUCUGUAAGAUGCAAGUAAAAUAAAACCAUAUAUAAGGACAGUGGAUCUGUCUUCUCUUUGCCUGUCUUCUCCUUGGGAACCUAGGAAAUGUCCAAGCCAUCAGUCCACUUUCUUUUCCUCAAGUUUUGGGAACAGAGAUGGCUCCUUUUCAAAAACCAAACCAAACCAAAACCAGAACAAAC